This 57-nucleotide transfer RNA is filed under the name Macropostrongyloides dissimilis. Its description in RNAcentral is "tRNA-Cys". The record is from RNAcentral. Lineage: Eukaryota; Metazoa; Nematoda; Chromadorea; Rhabditida; Strongylidae.
AAAUUCAUAGUAUAAUUUAGUAUUUCUAAUUGCAAAUUAGAAGGUAAAGAAUUUUAA